ACGACUCUCGGCAACGGAUAUCUCGGCUCUCGCAUCGAUGAAGAACGUAGCGAAAUGCGAUACCUGGUGUGAAUUGCAGAAUCCCGCGAACCAUCGAGUCUUUGAACGCAAGUUGCGCCCGAGGCCACCCGGUCGAGGGCACGCCUGCCUGGGUGUCACGC
RNAcentral lists this ribosomal RNA (161 nucleotides) under Areca tunku. RNAcentral describes it as "5.8S rRNA". It matches the Rfam family "5.8S ribosomal RNA". From Rfam's summary of the family: 5.8S ribosomal RNA (5.8S rRNA) is a component of the large subunit of the eukaryotic ribosome. It is transcribed by RNA polymerase I as part of the 45S precursor that also contains 18S and 28S rRNA. Lineage: Eukaryota; Viridiplantae; Streptophyta; Magnoliopsida; Arecales; Arecaceae. The record is from RNAcentral.